AUAUUGAACCGUCGGCCUCCUUUUUGAAAAGUCAGACAAAUGGCCCUUCGGAUCUAUGGGUUCCGUUUUCGUAACAUUGAACCAUCGGCAUAGUGGUAUGUCGAUCUAAUGGGAAAUAUUUCGGACCAUUGAGACGUCGGAACAAUGAGGUGUCGGAAUUACGGACAGGCCCCGAAACCACGUUGUCAAGCUAACUUGCUAACAUUUUGGUACGUUAACCCAACGUCACCCACCCGGCCGAACAACUUCAAUUAUCUCUAACCCAUACAUUGCACGGUGUUAACAAGUAAAUCAAGUCUGAAAUGUGUCAUUUAAAUUAAUUUCGUUAUCAACUGUAUUACUUCUAAGUUAUUGACGUGGUAUUGCAGUCGAAUGCAUCUGAACUUGAAGUCAGUGAGGCAUAUUGAUUAGCUAACUACAUCUAUGCAUGCCUAACUUAACUUAAUACGCCUACCAUCGUCUAUCAUCGUCAAUGUAUUGCAAAAAGUUGGUCGUAAGUGGAAAAAUAUCUAGCUAGAUGGUGAAAACCUACAAAUAUUCAUACAAACUUACCACGAUAGGUCUGCUAGUGGGGACUGGGGAGAGAGACGAUUUCCAACGUGCCACUGCCAGCUCGAGCUCCAGUUCAGUUCUAGUACUACUUUCGCGGGGAAUCAUCACCAUGUAGAGUAGAUUUGGUCAUUGUGUGCAUGUUGGACUUAACUCUCACUUUUGACACUACUAUUUAGACGAUUUUACUACUCUGUACAUUGUUAUAACUACUCUAUCCAGAGGAAAAUAGGUUUACUCUGCAAUAAUGGCACUCCAUUUUCUACUGUGUUGCAAUUUGCAAAAACCUAUUUAUCUAUCAUUUAUAUGUGGUUAUUUGAUGCAGAUAUGAAGCUCUGGAUGUGUUUUCUAUUGUAUGUGUUAUGAUUUUACGGGUUUACACGGGUGUCAACUUCGUGGUUUGGGCUGGUUUUUAUUGGAGUGGGCGGGUUCUAAGAUGUGAUUGGGCUGGAAACUGUCAAUCUGAUCUGGCAACACUGACGCCUCGUGCUCUGACUGCACCGUCAGUCAACGGACGUCGGAAAAGGCGUGGCUGACUGAUGUUCGAAUAUAUUCGAAUAUUCAUUGACACCUGCAAACCUCUUCAGAAGAAGGUCGAAAGAUGCCGAAGAAUGAGCGAGGAGUCUACUUUUUCAAGUUAUUCGGGAACAAAAAAAAAGAAAUCUUGUACACACAGAUUUCUAAAAAAUGUGAGGACCUGAUGAAGACUGGCAUUGAAAAAAAUACAAAUACCUUGGCUAGAGAUGGACUUUGGGGUCAAGUUUGUACCGGACUUGGCAUUCCAAACACAAAAAUCCAUCGAAUAAGACUUAAAGUAGCACAUCAAUCAUUUAAAAAGCACACAUCUCCAUCAUCUCCAUCGCCACAGGCUAGUGGAAUAGAUGAGCCUGGAGAACAGUAUUCUGAGCACACAUCACCAGGGUCCCUAUCGCCACAGGCUAGUGGAGCAGAUGAGCCUGGACAAGAGUAUUCUGAGAGUUUGUUUGGUGAUUCGCUGAUGUUGCAGAUGUCUGAUGUCUACUAGCAAGCUGAGCAAUUCUUGAACUUGUUCUUUGAACUUGUACUUUGAAAUUGCACUUUAAAAUAAACAUUUACGUUUUUAUAGCCCAUGCUUUAUGAUGACUA
Gadus chalcogrammus (walleye pollock) is the source of this 1674-nucleotide long non-coding RNA. RefSeq lists it as uncharacterized. The record is from RefSeq and is a predicted model, not a curated record. The transcript is spliced from 6 exons. Lineage: Eukaryota; Metazoa; Chordata; Actinopteri; Gadiformes; Gadidae.